UUUUAUCUGUGCUUUUAAAAUGGUUUCUGGUAUUUUGUUUGAAUCAUUGACGUUUUUGGUUUUAUGGCUGUCGACAGCUAAAUUUUAUUUCAAAACGUUUAAAAAACACUGCUAGUGUUGAAAUUUAUGCGUGACAGUGAUUUAUGCGUGGCACUGUCACGCACGACAUGCUUAUGGAUAUAAGUGCAACGUUCGACACAGUCUGCAAUGAUGCGAGGACCCACAGCGAUUUUGGACCAGUUCUAGGAUUCUUGGGAGGCUCUGCUUAGAUGGACAAUUGUGCAUGAGGACAUGCAGUAAAGCAACAGGGCAGGUGAAGUAUUGCAUUCCAGGUCCCUUGCCAGACGCGAAUUCACUGAAAAGUGCGUGGAUGUCGACAUCCAUGAUUGUCCUUGUCAUCGCGGCGACGAUUAACUUGUUAUGCAUUUAGUCGCUAAUGCUGUCAUGCUGGCUCUUUUGAAAUUUCUAUCGCUCUUGUCAGUUUUCCGUUUAUGCUUCUGGCGCAUUAUCCAAAUCGAGUUUUUACAUAAUUAUGUUGGUGUUUUCAUGAGAAAUUAUGUCUCGGAUGUUGGUUUUUUGUGUAAAACUAGUUAUGUGGAACAUGCCAAAAUAAAUACAAAAUGGUAUCUGAUAUCCAUAUCUAGAUGUUUCAUAUUUGUAAGUUUAAUAUAAAAAAGGAGGUAAUCCCUAAUAUCUAAAGCUAAUUCAAAAGUAAUUAUUAAACUAUAUGAUAUUUCUGACUAUAUAUAUAUAUAGUGCCCC
Long non-coding RNA from Paramacrobiotus metropolitanus, 762 nucleotides. RefSeq lists it as uncharacterized. Lineage: Eukaryota; Metazoa; Tardigrada; Eutardigrada; Parachela; Macrobiotidae. The transcript is spliced from 3 exons. The record is from RefSeq and is a predicted model, not a curated record.